Molecule: long non-coding RNA, 2168 nt
Organism: Hemicordylus capensis (graceful crag lizard)
Lineage: Eukaryota; Metazoa; Chordata; Lepidosauria; Squamata; Cordylidae
Exons: 2
Source: RefSeq, a predicted model, not a curated record
AGACUGAAGGAAAGCAGUUCUGACAGAGAAAAAGAUAAGCUGGAUUUCUAGAGGAUAGUUGUUUAUCCAGUGUUUGAGACGGGAAAAUCUAAGAAGAGACAGAGACUGGGCCUUCUUGGAAAGCUGCACGUAAAGUGCUUGAAAGAACAGAAGAGCUGAAUCAAGUCUGCAGAUUCAAAAGGCAUGAGUUCAAGUUGGACAGUUGUUUUUAUUUCCCCCCUCAUUCGUUCAAAAGCUGUUUGGAUCAAUUACAAUUUGGACUUUCUAAAGACAAAAGCGGGGAAUGGGAAAGACAUGUGUGAGAAUAUGUUAAGUUAAAUGUUUCUGUUAAAUGCAGAUUUGCCUAAUACUUACAUGUUAUAUUUAUCUUGGUGAUUGAUUGAUUGAUUGAUUGCGAAAUUUAUAUACUGCCUUUCAUUAAAAAUAAUCCCAAGGCAGUAAAUUCAAUAGUUGUUUGGGCCCCUCAGAACCCAUGUGUUAUAAAAUUGGUGCCCCAUGCGGUGGGCCUUUGCGAUUAUUAAGUGCUCCAGGAAAAACAUGUUUUAGCAAUUUUAAAAAAUUCAUCUGUUCUCUUCAGCAUUGCUAGCACUAUUUCAAAUAAAGUACUAUGGGCCAGGGACCCAAUCCUAACAUGACCCCUUUGCUAAAACACACCAGAUAUAACAGGGAUGUCCUGGUGAUUAAUGGCUUUAAAAACUGGAAUUGACUGCUGGAUUCCAUUAAAGAGCAUGAAAAGGUUUAAUUAAAAAAUGGAGAGAGGCCUCUAUAUCUGGGCCACUGAUCUUUUAAGUACCUAGCAAGCAAUUCCCCUGAUUGUUCUGGUUCUAAAAAGCUGUCAUUUUAACCCUAAUUUCCUAAAGGAAAAUAAGCUUAUGAGAUCACCCAGGGGUAUGUGUGUAUGUGUCCCACCAUCAACUUCACGAUUCCUGGACUGAUCUGAACCACAUUUAGCACAAUUGUAGGGACACCUCAAUGGCUUAGUUGUGAUGAUGUCAUCUGCCCUGAUUCAAGAUGGUGGACAUGAAAACUUCUGAGGUGCAAGUGGGCUAACCUGUGAACCAGCUAACUGAUUUCAACCAAAUUGGGUAUAGAUGCAGGGACCCAAUGAUGUAGUUUGUGACAAAGUCAUCCACCCCAAUUCAAGAUGGCAGAUGAAUUAAUAUUUGGGAUGGAAGUGAGAACCAAUUUAAACUAAAUUUAGUACAGUUGUAAGGACACAUCUCUGUUAACAUACAUUUUAAUGGCUAGCUUGGGACAAAGGAAACUAGCUUGUUAACAUUCCUAGUCACUCCCAUGGUAUUCUGGGAAACAUGAGAGAAGCCCUGAUGCACACAUUACCUCCCCCCCACCCACCGGUCUCCCAGACCUAUUCACCCAUUGUAAUGGAAGAACAAUUGUACUGGAAGGACAUAGUACUAGAAGGAAGCACACCCAGCAAAUUUGAAUAGGACAAAGAUGUAUUCUUUGCUCUCUCCCUUUUGUCCACCUUUUCAGCAGGAAGGUGUGGUCAGCAUGCCAGGGCAAAAUGCUAUCUAUUUCUAGUCAAGACACAAUCAAUUAGUAUGUCUCUUCCCCAGAUUCAUCAGCUGCAGCCUGCUUGUCAUCAUGUUUGGGCAUUGGGACCUCCAUCUUUCCUUGCCUGGACUUUUGCUCUUGUAUUGCUUGUCGCCUCCAGACCGUCCCUUUCCCCUAGCCCGGUCUGCGCAGCAUUCUUGGCUGUGAGAUCCUGGUCUCUAGAGUUCAGACCGUCUUUGGAUUUUGCCUGGUUCCCAGACUCCUGCCUGCCCCUUGGGUUCCCGUUCCUGCCUUUUGCCUUCCUGCCUGUCCCGGAGAAGAGAGGUCCCUUGGCAUCGGCCAAGCUUCAAGAGUCCAAACACCCCAAAAGUCAGAAGUAGGUAGUAUCUAACCUCUGCUCUCAUGCUUCUCACUCCCCUCCUCUCUUGCUCCCUCUAAAAUCCGAAGCUGCUCUCUCCAAAGACCAUUUUUCUGGUCGGCCUUGAGUAAACUCAAUUGAGAACUCAAGCCAAAUUGCCUCUUUGUGAGCUUUAACAUAGUCCUUUUAAUUGGUUAAUCUCGUUAGCUUGUCAGUUAAUAUUGUGUUGCUCAUUAAUCAUUAUUUCUUUUCCUGAACCCCUAAGCCCUAAAAUAAAUCUGAUUCUAUUUUUGGA